ACCUCGGUGGUGUAGUGGUCAAGACGCUCGCCUGGUAAACAGGAGCGCGUGGGUUCAAAUCCCAGCCGAGGUA
Molecule: transfer RNA, 73 nt
Filed under: Diaphorina citri (Asian citrus psyllid)
Lineage: Eukaryota; Metazoa; Arthropoda; Insecta; Hemiptera; Psyllidae
Rfam family: tRNA
About the family: Transfer RNA (tRNA) molecules are approximately 80 nucleotides in length.
Source: Rfam by way of RNAcentral